Oryza sativa Indica Group (long-grained rice) is the source of this 204-nucleotide microRNA precursor. It matches the Rfam family "MIR812 microRNA precursor family". NCBI's taxonomy places the organism in Eukaryota, Viridiplantae, Streptophyta, Magnoliopsida, Poales, Poaceae. The record is from Rfam.
GUUCCGUGCAACCAUAAGUUUCCAUGUCCAACUUGAAUCGUUCGUCUUAUUUAAAAAAAAAUUAUAAUUAAUAUUUUUAUUGUUAUGAGAUGAUAAAGCAUGAGUAAUACUUUACUUGUGACUUAUGUUUUUAAUUUUUUUUUAAAAUUUUUAAAUAAGAUGGACGGUUAAACUUUGGCGCGGAAAACCAUGGCUGCACUUAUA